The sequence is a transfer RNA, 54 nucleotides long. It matches the Rfam family "tRNA", at positions 19 to 71 of the family's 71-position model. From Rfam's summary of the family: Transfer RNA (tRNA) molecules are approximately 80 nucleotides in length. Their secondary structure includes four short double-helical elements and three loops (D, anti-codon, and T loops). The record is from Rfam.
UAGGACGCCUGCCUGUCACGCAGGAGACCACCGGUUCGAAUCCGGUAUGGACCG